This 59-nucleotide transfer RNA is filed under the name Ortleppascaris sinensis. RNAcentral describes it as "tRNA-Phe". Lineage: Eukaryota; Metazoa; Nematoda; Chromadorea; Rhabditida; Ascarididae. The record is from RNAcentral.
ACUCUUUUAGUUUAUUUUAAAAAAUAUAGCUCUGAAGAAGCUAAGAAAGUUUAGGAGUG